CCGACGGUGAGGGAUGAAUGCUGGGGGCGCAAACCGGAUUAGAUACCCGGGUAGUCCCAGCAGUAAACGAUGCCAGCUAUGUGUUGCUGGAACCAUGGGUUCCAGCAGUGCCGAAGGGAAGCCGUGAAGCUGGCCACCUGGGAAGUACGGUCGCAAGGCUGAAACUUAAAGGAAUUGGCGGGGGAGUACCACAACCGGUGGAGCCUGCGGUUUAAUUGGAUACAACGCCGGGAAUCUUACCGGAGGGGACAGCAGUAUGAAGGCCAGGCUAAAGACCUUGCCAGAUCAGCUGAGAGGAGGUGCAUGGCCGUCGCCAGUUCGUACCGUGAGGCAUCCUGUUUAGUCAGGCAACGAUCGAGACCCGCAGUCUUAUUUGCCAGCAUGCCCUUUGGGGUGUAUGGGUACAAUAAGACGACCGCCAGCGCUAAGCUGGAGGAAGGAGCGGGCUACGGUAGGUCAGCAUGCCCCGAAUCCUCCGGGAUACACGCGGGCUACAAUGGUCAGGACAAAAGGUACCGACCUCGAAAGAGUGAGGUAAUCCACAAACCUGAUCUCAGUCCGGAUCGAAGGCUGCAACUCGCCUUCGUGAAGAUGGAAUCGGUAAGUAAUCGUGACUCAAAAUGUCACGGUGAAUAUGUCCCUGCUCCUUGCACACAC
This 657-nucleotide ribosomal RNA is filed under the name uncultured archaeon. Its description in RNAcentral is "bacterial SSU rRNA". It matches the Rfam family "Archaeal small subunit ribosomal RNA", at positions 691 to 1346 of the family's 1478-position model. The record is from RNAcentral.